This 400-nucleotide ribosomal RNA is filed under the name uncultured bacterium. RNAcentral describes it as "bacterial SSU rRNA". It matches the Rfam family "Bacterial small subunit ribosomal RNA", at positions 355 to 751 of the family's 1533-position model. The record is from RNAcentral.
UGAGGAAUAUUGGUCAAUGGGCGCAAGCCUGAACCAGCCAUCCCGCGUGCAGGAAGACGGCCCUAUGGGUUGUAAACUGCUUUUCCAGGGAGAGAAACUUGCGUACGCGUUGCGCAAUUGACGGUACCCUGGGAAUAAGCAUCGGCUAACUCCGUGCCAGCAGCCGCGGUAAUACGGAGGAUGCGAGCGUUAUCCGGAUUCAUUGGGUUUAAAGGGUGCGUAGGCGGACUAUUAAGUCAGUGGUGAAAUCCUGCAGCUUAACUGCAGAACUGCCAUUGAUACUGAUAGCCUUGAGUUUGGUUAAGGUAGGCGGAAUGUGUAAUGUAGCGGUGAAAUGCUUAGAUAUUACACAGAACACCAAUUGCGUAGGCAGCUUACUGAGCCGACACUGACGCUGAGG